ACGCUCGACACCUACGAGAGGCAGCAGUGGGGAAUAUUGCACAAUGGGGGAAACCCUGAUGCAGCGACGCCGCGUGAGUGAAGAAGUAUUUCGGUAUGUAAAGCUCUAUCAGCAGGGAAGAAGAUGACGGUACCUGAGUAAGAAGCCCCGGCUAACUACGUGCCAACAGCCGCGGUAAUCUGAGCGGGCUGGCAAGGC
This 198-nucleotide ribosomal RNA is filed under the name uncultured bacterium. RNAcentral describes it as "partial 16S ribosomal RNA". It matches the Rfam family "Bacterial small subunit ribosomal RNA", at positions 328 to 539 of the family's 1533-position model. The record is from RNAcentral.